Molecule: ribosomal RNA, 700 nt
Filed under: Parmotrema pseudotinctorum
Lineage: Eukaryota; Fungi; Ascomycota; Lecanoromycetes; Lecanorales; Parmeliaceae
Description: SSU rRNA
Rfam family: Bacterial small subunit ribosomal RNA
Source: RNAcentral
GUAUAGCAAUAGCUACUUGUAUCAUUAAUGAUGCAAGCUCGACUAUGUUGAAUAAAAUUCUAGGUAGAAUUAUGAUAAUGACAUUGUCUGCCUAUGUGUCUUGACCAAAUUACGUGCCAGCAGUCGCGGUAAUACGUAGAAGACUAGUGUUAUUCAUGUUUAAUCGGUUUAAAGGGUACCUAGACGGUGAAUCAAGCUUUAGAAUAAAGAAGAAAAGGAACUAAUUCGCUAGAGUUACUUACGAGGGGGUAGUAAAGUACUGCUGGUGUAGAGAUGAAAUUCUGUCAUACCUCUUUUCGAAAGAAAAAUUAUGGCACAGGUAUAGGCGAAGGCAUCCCCUUAUGUGAUAACUGACGUUGAGGGACGAAGGCUUCGUGGAACAAACAGGAUUAGAUACCCUAGUAGUUGAAGCAGAAAAUGAUGAAUGUCAUAGAUUAGACGUCUAAGUUUAUUCUAUAAAUGAAAGUGUAAGCAUUCCACCUCAUGAGUAAUUUGGCAACAUUGGAAUUGAAAUCAUUAGACCGUUUCUGAAACCAGUAGUGAAGUAUGUUGUUUAAUUUGAUAAUACGCAAAAAACCUUACCACAAUUUGAAUCUUUAUAUUGUUUAUUGUUAUCUUAUUAAUUUUCUUAAAAAAACUAAUUAUAGCAAAAGCAUUUUAAAACAGGAAAAGAAAAUUAAUCAAGAGGCAAUAAGAUAUA